GAGUUUGAUCAUGGCUCAGGAUGAACGCUGGCGGCGUGCCUAAUACAUGCAAGUCGAGCGAACAGACGAGGAGCUUGCUCCUCUGACGUUAGCGGCGGACGGGUGAGUAACACGUUGGAUAACCUACCUAUAAGACUGGGAUAAACUUCGGGAAACCGGAGCUAAGUACCGAAUAAUAUAUUGAACCGCAUGGUUCAAUUAGUGAAAAACGGUUUUGCUGUCACUUAUAGAUGGAUCCGCGCCGCAUUAGCUAGUUGGUAGGGUAACGGCUUACCAAGGCGACGAUGCGUAGCCGACUGAGAGGGUGAUCGGCCACACUGGAACUGAGACACGGUCCAGACUCCUACGGGA
This 351-nucleotide ribosomal RNA is filed under the name uncultured microorganism. Its description in RNAcentral is "bacterial SSU rRNA". It matches the Rfam family "Bacterial small subunit ribosomal RNA", at positions 9 to 346 of the family's 1533-position model. The record is from RNAcentral.